This 460-nucleotide ribosomal RNA is filed under the name uncultured bacterium. RNAcentral describes it as "partial 16S ribosomal RNA". It matches the Rfam family "Bacterial small subunit ribosomal RNA", at positions 338 to 795 of the family's 1533-position model. The record is from RNAcentral.
CCUACGUGUGGCAGCAGUGAGGAAUAUUGGUCAAUGUGCGGAAGCCUGAACCAGCCAAGUAGCGUUCAGGAUGACGGCCCUACGGGUUGUCAACUGCUUUUAUACGGGAAUAACGCGCCUUACGUGUAGGUCUUUGCAUGUACCUUAUGAAUAAGGACCGGCUAAUUCCGUGCCAGCUGCCGCGGUAAUACAGAAGGUCCGGGCGUUAUCCGGAUUUAUUGUGUUUAACGGGAGCGUAGGCCGCAUGUCAAGCGUGCUGUGAAAUGUCCGGGCUCAACCCGGGCCUUGCAGCGCGAACUGGCGUGCUUGAGUCCGCGGAAAGCAGGCGGAAUUCGUCGUGUAGCGGUGAAAUGCUUAGAUAUGACGAAGAACCCCGAUUGCGAAGGCAGCUUGCUGCAGCGGAACUGACGCUGAUGCUCGAAAGCGCGGGUAUCGAACAGGAUUAGAUACCCCAGUAGUC